AUUGAACGCUGGCGGCAUGCUUUACACAUGCAAGUCGAACGAGAACGGGUUAUAGCUUGCUAUAAUUGUCAGCUAAGUGGCGCACGGGUGAGUAAUGUAUAGGUAAUAUGCCUCUUACUAAGGGAUAACAAAUGGAAACGUUUGCUAAUACCUUAUACUCCUUAUUAACAGAAGUUAAUAAGGGAAAGAUUUAUUGGUAAGAGAUUAGCCUGUAUUGUAUCAGUUAGUUGGUGAGGUAAUGGCUUACCAAGACUAUGACACAUAACUGGUUUGAGAGGAUGAUCAGUCACACUGGAACUGAGACACGGUCCAGACUCCUACGGGAGGCAGCAGUGGGGAAUAUUGCACAAUGGACGAAAGUCUGAUGCAGCAACGCCGCGUGGAGGAUGACACAUUUCGGUGCGUAAACUCCUUUUAUAUGAGAAGAUAAUGACGGUAUUAUAUGAAUAAGCACCGGCUAACUCCGUGCCAGCCGCCGCCGUAA
This 484-nucleotide ribosomal RNA is filed under the name uncultured bacterium. Its description in RNAcentral is "partial 16S ribosomal RNA". It matches the Rfam family "Bacterial small subunit ribosomal RNA", at positions 30 to 523 of the family's 1533-position model. The record is from RNAcentral.